GCGAUUUAAAAAAAAGAAAGGAAAUAAUGCGUGGGAUACGCAGAAAUCUGACGCACAGGUGAUGGUCAUUCGAAAAGGUAUUUAAACGCGCAGAAAGGGAAAGCUGAUUCUGUCACAAACAGAGAAUUUUAUAUAGCGACACUUUACGUUUGUCCCAAAACAGUGAACUUGGUCCUUGUUUUUCGAUCAGAAUACUAACUCAAAAGCAAAGAUUUCAAAUCAUGGACACAUGUUCUUUCAGCAUUGGCAAGCAAUGACUGAACCCAACGAUCUUUAUCGAGAAUGUUUCCCAGAGUGCACCGCAGAGAACAAACUGACAAUAUAAAUGCAGCAAUGCAGGAGGCAAUACGAAUAUCCAUAGAUUGACACUAUAACUUCAGCAAGGCAGGAUACCGUACAAAUAUUCACGUCUUCUACGGAAUUCGAACGCGGGAAAACAACGCUACUGCAGCCAGCUCUUCAACCACCAUCGAGACAGUGCAAAAUGUAUAUUUAUAAAUAAUAUUUUUACGGAGAAUGAUUUGUUCAAAAUUGAGCGGUUCUCACUUUUUCAGAUGAAUAAGGACUUCACCAUGUUAUUCGCAUCAUCCAACAUAGUUUUGCCAUUAGAAUUACCGAUAAAAUGGGUUCUGCUAUAUAACUAUCAUUAUAUAGAUUAUAUUAAGUGCUAUACAAUUCUAGUUACAUACACUACUCUAAAACUAUAGUCGUUAUAUUUUCUUUUUGAAUUUUUAAACAAUACGUCUAAAAUAAUUUAUGUAUCAUUGUCCAGACUAUUUUAAAUGAAAUAAGCAAUAAAACAGCUCUUUGAAAAUGGCUUUUAAAAAGACUAUUCAAAGCUAAAACUAAUAUUAAGAGGAGAAAGGAGGGAAAGCUAAAUUUUCUAGAACAAACAUGUACUGUGAAACACUAUUAAUGGUUUAAAUACGAUUAUUAAAAGUAUCAAUAAUAAUGCUAUUAAAAUGAGCUUAAAGAAGCUAUAAAUAAGUAAAAUAACAUUAACUUAAGUAGAAACUAAUUGAAAGAAAUAUAAAAUUAAGUAACACAAUCUAUGUCUGUAUAAGUGUAAAAUGAUAUACGCUCUUCAAGUGCAAAUUUACACAGAAUAACCAUAAAAAUCAUGAUCAUUAUUCUUAGCAAAGAACAAAUGAACUAUCGCAUUGUAUCGGAGAGAAAAAGAUGUCUAAAAAACUUUAAAAACAUGAUCACUUUGUGAUGAUCUCUUUUCUCAUUACCCUUAGAAUUCUGGCUUUCUUUUAAUGACAAUAAAAAUAAGUUUCACUGGCAAUGUUUACGCAUUUUCUUCUCGGUAAACCUAGAAAUAUUUCAGUUCUCCAUUGGAAGAAAAGAAAAUUACAGAUAAACAACAGAUAACAGCUACGUGGUAAAAAGAAGAAGGCCUAAACUUCGGCACAUUAUCAUACCAUGCUCUGUUUCAAACGAGAGAACAACCUGUAAGUAUUGUCAGCGCUCUUGAACCUUUACUGUUUUUUUCUUUCUUAAAUAUUGUUCGUUCUUAGAAAGAAAAAAUGGUAGCAAAGGUAAAGGAACUGAGCAUAAAAAUUGCAUAAUAUGUGAGACAGUGCAUGAAGGUAGUUGAUCCAAAAGAUGACAUUUUAUUUUCACAACUAUUGAGACUAGUCUAACUGGAAUAUGUCAUCAUAUGUGCAUCGUUCCGUUUCACAUUCAGCAGCUAUGAUUCGAGAAGGUAUUAAUCUCUGUAUUUUGAAUGAAAUGACUUAUUGUUCGAUGAUGGCAAAAUCUUCAGAACUCAAUUGUAUUACGCUAAGUUUGAAACAAUGCUCUUAUAGGAGACAACUGGAUAGUCAAAGCUGUAGAAAUUUUCCAGCAAAAUCAAAUGAAAUGCUUAAUGACUUAUAAAACAAAUAAAUAUUUCGCUUCAUUUCCACAGCUUACCAAGUAAGAGCGUCACAUCUGAAACACAGUCUUACCUGAGUGACUGGAAUUUUUUAUUAAAUCAACGAUUUUUAUUUAUCAUUCCUAAGUAAACUAAAACUUAUAUUAUGCCAAAAAAGUAAAAUACUCCAUUAUUUUACUUUACAUACAGAUGUUUGGUAUUCUACAUUUGAAUUUUUUUUUAAUGUAUUUUUACAUUUAGAUAAAAAUGCAGUAUAUUUUACCCUUUUUUUCUAUUAAGUAAACAAGAAUAAAUUGCAAACAGUUCUAUUGACCUCCACUCAGCCGAAAACACAAUACUCGACAAGACGGACAAGGUCAGUUCUUUCAGUGGACACAAAAACUAAUAUAAAUCUUAAGAAUCAAGUUUUGCAUUUUAAAACAAAAGUCGACCUCAAGGUCGUUUUAAAAAUCUGUUAAAAUCGAGUUGCAAUUCACUGAAUCAAUAAUAUACAACUCAUUAUAUUGUUCACAUACUGGAUAAUUAGAUUAAAUGCAAAUGCAAGGGUAUGUUUGUAUCUUUCAAAACUAAAAUGUGAUGUGCACUUUACCAACCAUCAUUGCUACUCAUAAUUCAAAAUAAAUAAAAAAAUCCCUUGCUUACUCAUACCUUGCAUAAAAAUUGCUUACGCAUUGCUGUUAUUUGACUUCAUUGUUACAAUGUAAAUCUGAAUAAAUAUAUACUCUGCAAAA
Long non-coding RNA from Stegodyphus dumicola, 2610 nucleotides. The record is from RefSeq and is a predicted model, not a curated record. Lineage: Eukaryota; Metazoa; Arthropoda; Arachnida; Araneae; Eresidae.